AAUCAUGGACACUUUGUUAACAUUCGGUUCUAGAUAACUUGAAGUAAUUUAAUUAAAACCUGCCAACUGUGUGCGUAACCGUGACUGUUUCCUUCAGAGUUUCUUCUCUGAUCGAGAACAUGGUGGGGUUAUGAAUGACAUAAGUAGGUGUUCAGGAUAACUUAGUGAUUAUUCUUAGUUCACGACCAUCAUGCGUAGACCACCAUAUCUUUACUUCUUGUUCAACGUAAGUUAGCCACCAUAAAUGCUUAGGUUGCCGCAAACUCAAACACAUACCCCAUCCUCACCAAAUGACUUAGUUAGAUUCGAUACCAAGGUCAUGAGAUUGCCGAGUCCUUGUGGCUCACAGAUUACUACAAAAACCCACAGGUACAGGUACCCCAGAUGCAAACGCUUCCGAGGAUACCCAGCUGAAGUGGGAGUUUGACGAGGACAGUGGCCGGCUGUACGUGACGUACCCCGAGGACUAGAGGCACUUGGUCGUGAUCAUGGUCCUAACAAGGAGGGAUAGCAUUAGCUUUUGUCGUUUAUCUUGUCCGUAGACGGACCAUGUUUUCUAUCUGAAUAAUGAAUGAUUGUGUGGAACUAUAAUUUAGCUUGUGGCGAAUGUAAGACGAAUCUUAUUACUCUUCAAUCUAUUAGUGAAUGCAAUGUUUAUCC
This 660-nucleotide long non-coding RNA is filed under the name Hordeum vulgare. RNAcentral describes it as "long non-coding RNA (HVUL_LNC015026)". The record is from RNAcentral. Lineage: Eukaryota; Viridiplantae; Streptophyta; Magnoliopsida; Poales; Poaceae.